Molecule: ribosomal RNA, 230 nt
Filed under: uncultured bacterium
Lineage: Bacteria
Description: partial 16S ribosomal RNA
Rfam family: Bacterial small subunit ribosomal RNA
Source: RNAcentral
UAAAGCGCGCGUAGGUGGUUUGUUAAGUUGAAUGUGAAAUCCCCGGGCUCAACCUGGGAACUGCAUCCAAAACUGGCAAGCUAGAGUAUGGUAGAGGGUGGUGGAAUUUCCUGUGUAGCGGUGAAAUGCGUAGAUAUAGGAAGGAACACCAGUGGCGAAGGCGACCACCUGGACUGAUACUGACACUGAGGUGCGAAAGCGUGGGGAGCAAACAGGAUUAGAUACCCUGU